GUACGGGAGGCAGCAGUGGGGAAUCUUGCACAAUGGGGGAAACCCUGAUGCAGCGACGCCGCGUGAGCGAUGAAGUCCUUCGGGGCGUAAAGCUCUUUCGGCAGGGAAGAUGAUGACGGUACCUGCAGAAGCAGCUGCGGCUAACUACGUGCCAGCAGCCGCGGUAAUACGUAGGCAGCAAGCGUUGUUCGGAGUUACUGGGCGUAAAGGGUGUGUAGGCGGUCUUUUAAGUUCGGUGUGAAAUCUCCCGGCUCAACCGGGAGGGCGCGCCGGAUACUGAAGGACUCGAGUGCGGGAGAGGAGAGUGGAAUUCCUGGUGUAGCGGUGAAAUGCGUAGAUAUCAGGAGGAACACCGGUGGUGUAGGCGGCUCUCUGGACCGCGACUGACGCUGAGACACGAAAGCGUGGGUAGCAAACAGGAUUAGAUACCCCUGUAU
Molecule: ribosomal RNA, 437 nt
Filed under: uncultured bacterium
Lineage: Bacteria
Description: bacterial SSU rRNA
Rfam family: Bacterial small subunit ribosomal RNA
Source: RNAcentral